GCCCCGGUAGCUCAGUGGAUAGAGCACGCCCCUCCUAAGGGCGGGGUCGCAGGUUCGAUUCCUGCCCGGGGCGCCA
Molecule: transfer RNA, 76 nt
Filed under: Burkholderiales bacterium
Lineage: Bacteria; Pseudomonadati; Pseudomonadota; Betaproteobacteria; Burkholderiales
Also listed under: 1 other name
Description: tRNA-Arg
Rfam family: tRNA
About the family: Transfer RNA (tRNA) molecules are approximately 80 nucleotides in length. Their secondary structure includes four short double-helical elements and three loops (D, anti-codon, and T loops). Further hydrogen bonds mediate the characteristic L-shaped molecular structure. tRNAs have two regions of fundamental functional importance: the anti-codon, which is responsible for specific mRNA codon recognition, and the 3' end, to which the tRNAs corresponding amino acid is attached (by aminoacyl-tRNA synthetases). tRNAs cope with the degeneracy of the genetic code in two manners: having more than one tRNA (with a specific anti-codon) for a particular amino acid; and 'wobble' base-pairing, i.e. permitting non-standard base-pairing at the 3rd anti-codon position.
Source: RNAcentral